Molecule: ribosomal RNA, 169 nt
Filed under: uncultured Methylocystaceae bacterium
Lineage: Bacteria; Pseudomonadati; Pseudomonadota; Alphaproteobacteria; Hyphomicrobiales; Methylocystaceae
Description: partial 16S ribosomal RNA
Rfam family: Bacterial small subunit ribosomal RNA
Source: RNAcentral
AUAACCGGAGGCAGCAGUGGGGAAUAUUGGACAAUGGGCGCAAGCCUGAUCCAGCCAUGCCGCGUGAGUGAUGAAGGCCUUAGGGUUGUAAAGCUCUUUCGCCAGGGACGAUAAUGACGGUACCUGGAUAAGAAGCCCCGGCUAACUUCGUGCCAGCAGCCGCGGUAAU